UUAACUAUUAUAUAGUACUCAGACGACAUUAACAAAAGAGUUUGGGGUCCUCUGGCGGGCACUGACCAGCCGAAGCCGGUGGUCGUAAGACGGGCCCGCCAAAGCAACAGAGGUAAUGUAAACAAAGGGUGGGAGAUCUACCCCGAAGGGCAAGUUCUCUGUAAUGAUCCUUCCGCAGGUUCACCUACGGAAA
RNAcentral lists this unclassified non-coding RNA (193 nucleotides) under uncultured fungus. RNAcentral's name for it is "sequence contains ITS1, 5.8S rRNA gene". The record is from RNAcentral. Lineage: Eukaryota; Fungi.